GUCCUGAUGUUCCCUGGUCUAUUUCCCACAGUGAGUUGGUGAAGGAGCAGCAGGCUGAUAAGUCCCUGGGGGCUUUGCUGGAGAUGGCUCUUCCUGUUGUUUGGUGUUGCAGGUUUCCCAUGAUGAGUCCGGUCAUUUGGGCGUCAGGAAGACGUACGACCAUAUUUUGAGGAUAUCUGUUGCUGAGGAUGGAGUGGAGAGGCGGUGGGCUGAUGUGGCCACGUAAGCGGUGAGGUGUUUUUUUUUUCUUUAGCAUUAUAUUAUGUGAUUACAAUAUUGGUAUGUUUUAUAUUUAAUUGUUUUAAGAGGUGGCUGACUGGGCGCCAGGGUUCCC
Molecule: long non-coding RNA, 334 nt
Organism: Epinephelus moara (kelp grouper)
Lineage: Eukaryota; Metazoa; Chordata; Actinopteri; Perciformes; Serranidae
Exons: 3
Source: RefSeq, a predicted model, not a curated record